Long non-coding RNA from Wyeomyia smithii (pitcher-plant mosquito), 397 nucleotides. RefSeq lists it as uncharacterized. NCBI's taxonomy places the organism in Eukaryota, Metazoa, Arthropoda, Insecta, Diptera, Culicidae. The transcript is spliced from 3 exons. The record is from RefSeq and is a predicted model, not a curated record.
AGCCUCCGGAUUAUCAAUUUCUUUGGAGCAGAGAAAAUAAUUAAUCGACAUGGUUUCUUCGUUCAGAACUUUGAUUUGUUGCUACGCUAUUUUCAAUGUGAUGGCAUCAUUACUUUUAUCGUUCACAUCGAUUUAUAUUGAUAGAGAUUGCAGUGUCAUUAAAAAUCGUUCCUAUAGAGAAACGAAACCAGAUGAUUUAGAGCCUCUCAAAGCAAUUUUACUACUAGUCACGUCAACGGCGUUUUUAUACAAUCAAAUUUUUAACGCCUAUUGUAAUUGUACAACUUACAGUGAGUUUUAUUUCUUCAUGAUAAAUAUGAUUUUUUAUCUUCAGUGGAAAUCGAUAAAUCAGAAAGCAACGGUUGUGUAAGAACACCAAAUCAAUAAGCUUUAGCAA